RNAcentral lists this ribosomal RNA (430 nucleotides) under uncultured bacterium. RNAcentral's name for it is "bacterial SSU rRNA". It matches the Rfam family "Bacterial small subunit ribosomal RNA", at positions 355 to 776 of the family's 1533-position model. The record is from RNAcentral.
UGGGGAAUCUUGCGCAAUGGGCGAAAGCCUGACGCAGCGACGCCGCGUGGGUGACGAAGGCCUUCGGGUUGUAAAGCCCUGUGGGGGGAGACGAACCGGGCUAUGGCUAAUAUCCAUGGUCCUUGACGGUAUCCCUUUAGCAAGCAUCGGCUAACUCUGUGCCAGCAGCCGCGGUAAUACAGAGGAUGCAAACGUUGCUCGGAAUUACUGGGCGUAAAGCGCGCGCAGGUGGUCUCGUAAGUCGGGCGUGAAAUCCCGGGGCUCAACCUCGGAAGUGCACUCGAUACUGCAAGACUCGAGUACUGGAGAGGAUCGCGGAAUUCCCGGUGUAGAGGUGAAAUUCGUAGAUAUCGGGAGGAACACCAGUGGCGAAGGCGGCGAUCUGGACAGAUACUGACACUGAGGCGCGAAAGCGUGGGAAGCAAACAGG